CUGACCCUCGGGGUGGAUCGCAGUGUCCCUCCGGACACCGCCUGCCAGCAGGUUGCAGGUACAGGA
This is a long non-coding RNA of Amblyraja radiata (thorny skate), 66 nucleotides long. RefSeq lists it as uncharacterized. The transcript has 3 exons. The record is from RefSeq and is a predicted model, not a curated record. NCBI's taxonomy places the organism in Eukaryota, Metazoa, Chordata, Chondrichthyes, Rajiformes, Rajidae.